Molecule: ribosomal RNA, 253 nt
Filed under: uncultured bacterium
Lineage: Bacteria
Description: partial 16S ribosomal RNA
Rfam family: Bacterial small subunit ribosomal RNA
Source: RNAcentral
UACGAAGGGGGCUAGCGCUGUUCGGAAUUACUGGGCGUAAAGCGCGCGCAGGCGGCUAUCCAAGUCAGUGGUGAAAGCCCGGAGCUCAACUCCGGAACUGCCAUUGAAACUGUUUAGCUUGAGGAUGAGAGAGGUGAGUGGAAUUCCCAGUGUAGAGGUGAAAUUCGUAGAUAUCGGGAGGAACACCUGUGGCGAAAGCGGCUCACUGGACCACAACUGACGCUGAGGCGCGAAAGCUAGGGGAGCAAACAGG